UUCGAGCGUCAUUUCAACCAAUCAAGCCUCGGCUUGGUCUUGGAGUUUGCGGUCCCGCAUCCCCUAAACUCAGUGGCGGUGCGAUUGAGCUCUGAGCGUAGUAAUUUUUCUCGCUAUAGGGUCUCGGUCGUUACUUGCCAUCAACCCCCUAUUUUUAUCAGGUUGACCUCGGAUCAGGUAGGGAUACCCGCUGAACUUAA
This 200-nucleotide unclassified non-coding RNA is filed under the name soil metagenome. Its description in RNAcentral is "partial contains internal transcribed spacer 2 and large subunit ribosomal RNA". The record is from RNAcentral.